Molecule: ribosomal RNA, 472 nt
Filed under: uncultured organism
Description: partial 16S ribosomal RNA
Rfam family: Bacterial small subunit ribosomal RNA
Source: RNAcentral
ACACUCCUACGGGAGGCAGCAGUGGGGAAUAUUGCACAAUGGGCGCAAGCCUGAUGCAGCCAUGCCGCGUGUAUGAAGAAGGCCUUCGGGUUGUAAAGUACUUUCAGCGGGGAGGAAGGCGAUAAGGUUAAUAACCUUGUUGAUUGACGUUACCCGCAGAAGAAGCACCGGCUAACUCCGUGCCAGCAGCCGCGGUAAUACGGAGGGUGCAAGCGUUAAUCGGAAUUACUGGGCGUAAAGCGCACGCAGGCGGUCUGUCAAGUCGGAUGUGAAAUCCCCGGGCUCAACCUGGGAACUGCAUUCGAAACUGGCAGGCUAGAGUCUUGUAGAGGGGGGUAGAAUUCCAGGUGUAGCGGUGAAAUGCGUAGAGAUCUGGAGGAAUACCGGUGGCGAAGGCGGCCCCCUGGACAAAGACUGACGCUCAGGUGCGAAAGCGUGGGGAGCAAACAGGAUUAGAUACCCUUGUAGUCCC